Molecule: ribosomal RNA, 497 nt
Filed under: uncultured bacterium
Lineage: Bacteria
Description: partial 16S ribosomal RNA
Rfam family: Bacterial small subunit ribosomal RNA
Source: RNAcentral
GAUGAACGCUGGCGGCGUGCCUAAUACAUGCAAGUCGAGCGAACGGACGAGAAGCUUGCUUCUCUGAUGUUAGCGGCGGACGGGUGAGUAACACGUGGAUAACCUACCUAUAAGACUGGGAUAACUUCGGGAAACCGGAGCUAAUACCGGAUAAUAUUUUGAACCGCAUGGUUCAAAAGUGAAAGACGGUCUUGCUGUCACUUAUAGAUGGAUCCGCGCUGCAUUAGCUAGUUGGUAAGGUAACGGCUUACCAAGGCAACGAUGCAUAGCCGACCUGAGGGGGUGAUCGGCCACACUGGAACUGAGACACGGUCCAGACUCCUACGGGAGGCAGCAGUGGGGAAUCUUCCGCAAUGGGCGAAAGCCUGACGGAGCAACGCCGCGUGAGUGAUGAAGGUCUUCGGGUCGUAAAACUCUGUUAUUAGGGAAGAACAUAUGUGUAAGUAACUGUGCACAUCUUGACGGUACCUAAUCAGAAAGCCACGGCUAACUACGUG